UAAAUUUGUGCCCGUUGCAGUGCUCGGGAAUGCCGAUGAAAAUUCGGCAGCGGCCCUCGCCACUGUGAACCCGCGUGCACACCGCCGCUUUUUCAAUAAGGCGUCAAUUGGCGGUGCGCGCCAUGCAGAAUUCCACCACGACCCCUCACGCAGGCACCGACGUGGGAAGGACUUGUGCCACCACCCGACCGCGACAAGGUUUCGCGGUCCACUGCGGUGGUGCGGUAUCGCGGGUAAGCCAGGAGACCGGCUGCAACGCUUAAGAAGUU
Molecule: non-coding RNA, 269 nt
Filed under: Corynebacterium aquilae
Lineage: Bacteria; Bacillati; Actinomycetota; Actinomycetes; Mycobacteriales; Corynebacteriaceae
Also listed under: 1 other name
Source: RNAcentral